UGAGAUGAGUCCAUCCCUAUGAAGAGCUGC
RNAcentral lists this non-coding RNA (30 nucleotides) under Homo sapiens (human). The record is from RNAcentral. Lineage: Eukaryota; Metazoa; Chordata; Mammalia; Primates; Hominidae.